GUCGCUUCUCGGCCUUUGGCUAAGAUCAAGUGUAAAAAAAUCUGUUCUUAUCAGUUUAAUAUCUGUCGUCCUCUACCGAGACCAUAUAUUAAUCUGAUUUUUUGGAACAAGAGAGCGGAGAAGAGAGCUUGCUCCGUCCAUCCACAUCGACCGGUAUUGCAGGCGACUCGGGGGCGGUGCACAUCCC
Small nuclear RNA from Alosa alosa (allis shad), 187 nucleotides. RefSeq annotates it as U2 spliceosomal RNA. The record is from RefSeq and is a predicted model, not a curated record. The transcript has a single exon. Lineage: Eukaryota; Metazoa; Chordata; Actinopteri; Clupeiformes; Clupeidae.